This 289-nucleotide RNase P RNA is filed under the name Nitrososphaerota archaeon. Its description in RNAcentral is "RNase P RNA component". It matches the Rfam family "Archaeal RNase P". From Rfam's summary of the family: Ribonuclease P (RNase P) is a ubiquitous endoribonuclease, found in archaea, bacteria and eukarya as well as chloroplasts and mitochondria. Its best characterised activity is the generation of mature 5'-ends of tRNAs by cleaving the 5'-leader elements of precursor-tRNAs. The record is from RNAcentral. Lineage: Archaea; Thermoproteati; Nitrososphaerota.
GCGAGCCGGUGGGCGGGCCACGGGGUUUCCCUGGGGAAGUUCCUCCCUCGCCGCAGGAUGCACGACGCUGAGAGGCGUAACCGGAGACGGUUGGCUACGGAACAGAAACGAGACCCGCUUCGCCAUACGCUGUGAAGGAGAGAUCCGGAGAUCGGCGGAAUCCGGGAUGAAACGGCCGACCCGUGCAGAGCAAGGCCGAACGUGGUCGUCGACGGGCCUGCACCAGACCAAGGUUGGCUGCUAAGCUGAAUCCCGCCUAGAACAGAAGGAGGACUACGGCCGGCCACGC